Molecule: small RNA, 75 nt
Filed under: Xanthomonas arboricola
Lineage: Bacteria; Pseudomonadati; Pseudomonadota; Gammaproteobacteria; Lysobacterales; Lysobacteraceae
Description: sRNA sX9
Rfam family: Xanthomonas sRNA sX9
Source: RNAcentral
AUGCACCACGCGUACAUUCCGGUUCCUGCGCGCCGUCCGCACCCACCUGACGCCUGCCGCUCCGUUUUGUCAGCC